UGGGGAAUUUUGCACAAUGGGGGAAACCCUGAUGCAGCGACGCCGCGUGAUUUAGAAGGCGUUCGGGUUGUAAAAAUCUUUUCUAUGGGAAGAAAAUGACAGUACCAUAGGAAUAAGGACCGGCUAAUUACGUGCCAGCAGCCGCGGUAAUACGUAAGGUCCGAGCGUUGUCCGGAAUCAUUGGGCGUAAAGGGUACGUAGGCGGGUAAGCAAGUUAGAAGUGAAAUCCUAUAGCGCGACUAUAGUAAGCUUUUAAAACUGCUCAGCUUGAGGUAUGGAAGGGAAAGUGGAAUUCCUAUUGUAGCGGUGAAAUGCGAAGAUAUUAGGAGGAAUACCGGUGGCGAAGGCGACUUUCUGGCCAUAACCUGACACUGAGGUACGAAAGCGUAGGUAGCAAAGAGG
Molecule: ribosomal RNA, 402 nt
Filed under: bacterium
Lineage: Bacteria
Description: partial 16S ribosomal RNA
Rfam family: Bacterial small subunit ribosomal RNA
Source: RNAcentral